Molecule: long non-coding RNA, 930 nt
Filed under: Sorghum bicolor (sorghum)
Lineage: Eukaryota; Viridiplantae; Streptophyta; Magnoliopsida; Poales; Poaceae
Description: long non-coding RNA (SBIC_LNC016785)
Source: RNAcentral
CCCUAGGAGAAGGCACUGUAGCUGUAGCAGCUAGCCGGGACUUCCCUGUUCCCCCAUCACUGAGCUCUCGGCUCUCCUGUGUGUAUCUUUUUAUUUAUUUAUUUUUUCAUUUUUUGUCCGUGCCCUACUAGUCCAUGAGCCAAUCAAUCUGCAGGCAAACCUGCCAUGGUCACAGGGGCUAAUUAGGUGAGGCUGUCCGUUUCCCGUUUGUUGUGAUCUCGUGCGUUCUAGUUUUUUCCGGUAUACGUAGGACCAUGCAUGCAUGUUGGUUUCAAAUCCAAUGGUGUCUGUCGCGUACAGUAUGGACGGACGAUCGAAUCUAAUGCUUUGGUCGUUUGCGCCCGUUGGUUCAGACGUGUCGUACUGUUCCUUCACGAGCGCGCUUCUCACCGUCACCAACAACACCACCAGUAUCUCCACAUGUGACCCUGUUGCACAUAAUAAUUAUUACUAAUGACUAGCUAGCUACUGUAGGUAUCUGAAGAGCAUCUAAAGGCUAAGAGUAAGGGCAAUGAUACAGCUCGCUGCGGGCGAAAUAAACUCUAUUGUGGCAUUUCAUUUAAUGCGGCAUCGACAUACAGAGGCACAUGCAGCCAAUGGAGAAUAAGUGGAGCAGGAGAAUAGCAAAUUGGAACACAUGCCUGUACAUGCCGCUCACUUCAAGCCGGCGUUUCACCAGACGUCCGCUCUGCAUUCUCUCUCCUUUAAUCUCUCUGCCAGCUAGGAUUCAGCCUGUUGCAGUCGGUCAUAAUAAUUGCUCUAAGGCAACUAAAUAGGCUAUACUAUAUUUUAUUUAUCAAGGGCCGAUAUUACUUCACUGGAUGUUCUGUUUAAGUUCAAACAUUUAAAUUGAGAAAGAUCUUAGAUCACCACUCAUAUAGGCUUUGUUUAAAUGCCAAAAAAUUUUGAAGUUGUUGACAUUGUAGCACU